Long non-coding RNA from Xenopus tropicalis (tropical clawed frog), 514 nucleotides. RefSeq lists it as uncharacterized. The record is from RefSeq and is a predicted model, not a curated record. NCBI's taxonomy places the organism in Eukaryota, Metazoa, Chordata, Amphibia, Anura, Pipidae. The transcript has 3 exons.
GUAUUUUGCUCGGUAUAGGAAUUGCAUCCCUGUUUGCAUUUUUAUGGGGUGCAUACUCUAGUAUACACAUAAUAUGUGGAGCUGUUACUGCGCGGACGAUAUUCUCCACUGUCAGUUCAUUACUGCCAGCAAAGAGUUUCGGAUUUUGGACCUUACUCUGCUUGCAAAGCUCAUUAAACUCAGUAAGAACCAGUUAUAUAACUGCUGCUCCUCUGAUGAUCGCGGAUCUUUUUGAUAGCAGAGAUCGGAUUAAAAUGCAGUGCAUAUUUUACAUCCUUUAUUCUAUUGGAUGUGUCGUGGGGACCAUUUUUGGACCAAUUCUGAUUGGCUUUUACGGUUCCCUGUGGCGAAUGGCACUACGGGUAAGUGAAACAUAUAUGAAAAUAAUAAAGGCCGGUGGGAAGACAAAAGCAUCACUUUCUGAAGUGGCUUGAAGUUGCCUAGAGAGGAAAUUUCAGACUGCUAGACGCCGCAUAUGUCUUCCCAUUGGUGAUUUACAUUCCUGCCAGUUGGA